This 1487-nucleotide ribosomal RNA is filed under the name uncultured Paludibacter sp. RNAcentral's name for it is "bacterial SSU rRNA". It matches the Rfam family "Bacterial small subunit ribosomal RNA". The record is from RNAcentral. Lineage: Bacteria; Pseudomonadati; Bacteroidota; Bacteroidia; Bacteroidales; Paludibacteraceae.
AGAGUUUGAUCAUGGCUCAGGAUGAACGCUAGCGACAGGCCUAACACAUGCAAGUCGAGGGGCAGCACGGAAGUAGCAAUACGACUGGUGGCGACCGGCGCACGGGUGAGUAACACGUAUGCAACCUGCCUGUAAGAGGGGAAUAACCCGGAGAAAUCCGGACUAAUACCGCAUAAUACUGUGAAACUGCAUGGUUUUACAGUUAAACAUUUAUGGCUUACAGAUGGGCAUGCGUAUGAUUAGCUGGUUGGUGAGGUAACGGCUCACCAAGGCAACGAUCAUUAGGGGUUCUGAGAGGAAGGUCCCCCACACUGGUACUGAGACACGGACCAGACUCCUACGGGAGGCAGCAGUGAGGAAUAUUGGUCAAUGGACGAGAGUCUGGACCAGCCAAGUCGCGUGAAGGAAGAAGGUUCUAUGGAUUGUAAACUUCUUUUGUAAGGGAAUAAAAAAGAGUACGUGUACUCUAUUGUAUGUACUUUACGAAUAAGGAUCGGCUAACUCCGUGCCAGCAGCCGCGGUAAUACGGAGGAUCCGAGCGUUAUCCGGAUUUAUUGGGUUUAAAGGGUGCGUAGGCGGACUUAUAAGUCAGCGGUGAAAGUUUGCAGCUUAACUGUAAAAUUGCCGUUGAAACUGUUAGUCUUGAGUGUAAAUGAGGUAGGCGGAAUGUGUUGUGUAGCGGUGAAAUGCUUAGAUAUAACACAGAACACCAAUUGCGAAGGCAGCUUACUGGGAUACAACUGACGCUGAGGCACGAAAGCGUGGGGAUCAAACAGGAUUAGAUACCCUGGUAGUCCACGCAGUAAACGAUGAAUACUAACUGUAUGCGAUAUACUGUAUGCGGUACAGCGAAAGCGUUAAGUAUUCCACCUGGGGAGUACGUUCGCAAGAAUGAAACUCAAAGGAAUUGACGGGGGCCCGCACAAGCGGUGGAUUAUGUGGUUUAAUUCGAUGAUACGCGAGGAACCUUACCAAGACUUAAAUGGGAAUUGACAGGUUUAGAAAUAGAUCUUUCUUCGGACAAUUUUCAAGGUGCUGCAUGGUUGUCGUCAGCUCGUGCCGUGAGGUGUUAGGUUAAGUCCUGCAACGAGCGCAACCCCUGUCACUAGUUGCCAUCAUUCAGUUGGGGACUCUAGUGAGACUGCCUACGCAAGUAGAGAGGAAGGUGGGGAUGACGUCAAAUCAUCACGGCCCUUACGCCUUGGGCCACACACGUAAUACAAUGGCCGGUACAGAGGGCAGCUACACAGCGAUGUGAUGCAAAUCCCGAAAGCCGGUCUCAGUUCGGAUUGGAGUCUGCAACUCGACUCUAUGAAGCUGGAAUCGCUAGUAAUCGCGCAUCAGCCAUGGCGCGGUGAAUACGUUCCCGGGCCUUGUACACACCGCCCGUCAAGCCAUGGAAGCUGGGGGUACCUGAAGUCGGUGACCGUAAAAGGAGCUGCCUAGGGUAAAACUAGUAACUAGGGCUAAGUCGUAACAAGGUAGCC